This 365-nucleotide ribosomal RNA is filed under the name uncultured bacterium. Its description in RNAcentral is "bacterial SSU rRNA". It matches the Rfam family "Bacterial small subunit ribosomal RNA", at positions 527 to 896 of the family's 1533-position model. The record is from RNAcentral.
GGAGGAUCCAAGCGUUAUCCGGAAUCAUUGGGUUUAAAGGGUCCGUAGGCGGUUUAGUAAGUCAGUGGUGGAAGCCCAUCGCUCAACGGUGGAACGGCCAUUGAUACUGCUAGACUUGAAUUAUUAGGAAGUAACUAGAAUAUGUAGUGUAGCGGUGAAAUGCUUAGAGAUUACAUGGAAUACCAAUUGCGAAGGCAGGUUACUACUAAUGGAUUGACGCUGAUGGACGAAAGCGUGGGUAGCGAACAGGAUUAGAUACCCUGGUAGUCCACGCCGUAAACGAUGGAUACUAGCUGUUGGGGGCAACUUCAGUGGCUAAGCGAAAGUGAUAAGUAUCCCACCUGGGGAGUACGUUCGCAAGAAUG